ACUCCUACGGGAGGCAGCAGUGGGGAAUAUUGGACAAUGGGCGAAAGCCUGAUCCAGCCAUGCCGCGUGUGUGAAGAAGGUCUUCGGAUUGUAAAGCACUUUAAGUUGGGAGGAAGGGCAGUAAGUUAAUACCUUGCUGUUUUGACGUUACCAACAGAAUAAGCACCGGCUAACUUCGUGCCAGCAGCCGCGGUAAUACGAAGGGUGCAAGCGUUAAUCGGAAUUACUGGGCGUAAAGCGCGCGUAGGUGGUUCAGCAAGUUGGAUGUGAAAUCCCCCGGGCUCAACCUGGGAACUGCAUCCAAAACUACUGAGCUAGAGUACGGUAGAGGUGUGGAAUUUCCUGUGUAGCGGUGAAAUGCGUAGAUAUAGGAAGGAACACCAGUGGCGAAGGCGACUACCUGGACUGAUACUGACACUGAGGUGCGAAAGCGUGGGAGCAAACAGGAUUAGAUA
RNAcentral lists this ribosomal RNA (455 nucleotides) under uncultured bacterium. RNAcentral's name for it is "bacterial SSU rRNA". It matches the Rfam family "Bacterial small subunit ribosomal RNA", at positions 335 to 784 of the family's 1533-position model. The record is from RNAcentral.